Molecule: ribosomal RNA, 254 nt
Filed under: Bacteroides ovatus
Lineage: Bacteria; Pseudomonadati; Bacteroidota; Bacteroidia; Bacteroidales; Bacteroidaceae
Description: partial 16S ribosomal RNA
Rfam family: Bacterial small subunit ribosomal RNA
Source: RNAcentral
UACGGAGGAUCCGAGCGUUAUCCGGAUUUAUUGGGUUUAAAGGGAGCGUAGGUGGAUUGUUAAGUCAGUUGUGAAAGUUUGCGGCUCAACCGUAAAAUUGCAGUUGAAACUGGCAGUCUUGAGUACAGUAGAGGUGGGCGGAAUUCGUGGUGUAGCGGUGAAAUGCUUAGAUAUCACGAAGAACUCCGAUUGCGAAGGCAGCUCACUAGACUGGUUACUGACACUGAGGCUCGAAAGUGUGGGUAUCAAACAGG